Molecule: ribosomal RNA, 443 nt
Filed under: uncultured bacterium
Lineage: Bacteria
Description: partial 16S ribosomal RNA
Rfam family: Bacterial small subunit ribosomal RNA
Source: RNAcentral
CCUACGGGUGGCAGCAGUGGGGAAUAUUGGGCAAUGGGCGCAAGCCUGACCCAGCAACGCCGCGUGAAGGAAGAAGGCUUUCGGGUUGUAAACUUCUUUUCUGAGGGACGAAGAAAGUGACAGUACCUCAGGAAUAAGCCACGGCUAACUACGUGCCAGCAGCCGCGGUAAUACGUAGGUGGCAAGCGUUAUCCGGAUUUAGUGGGGGUAAAGGGCGUGGAGGCGGGUAAGCAAGUCAGAUGUGAAAGCCCAGGGCUCAACCCUGAGCCUGCAUUUGAAACGGUUUUUCUUGAGUGCUGGAGGGGCAAUCGGAAUUCCGUGUGUAGCGGUGAAAUGCGUAGAUAUACGGAGGAACACCAGUGGCGAAGGCGGAUUGCUGGACAGUAACUGACGCUGAGGCGCGAAAGCGUGGGGAGCAAACAGGAUUAGAUACCCUUGUAGUC